Molecule: ribosomal RNA, 5045 nt
Filed under: Thermosynechococcus sp. HN-54
Lineage: Bacteria; Bacillati; Cyanobacteriota; Cyanophyceae; Acaryochloridales; Thermosynechococcaceae
Description: 23S ribosomal RNA
Rfam family: Bacterial large subunit ribosomal RNA (bases 1-4062)
Source: RNAcentral
GGUCAAGCUACAAAGGGCCUACGGUGGAUACCUAGGCACACAGAGGCGAUGAAGGACGUGGAUACCGACGAUACGCUUCGGGGAGCUGGAAACAAGCUUUGAUCCGGAGAUUUCCGAAUGGGGCAACCCAGUAACUCUAACGCCAAUCCAUAACGUUAGAGGGCAAACCUGGCGAACUGAAACAUCUUAGUAGCCAGAGGAAAAGAAAGAAAACUCGAUUCCCUUAGUAGCGGCGAGCGAAAGGGGAACAGCCUAAACCAACGGGCUUGCCUGUUGGGGUCGUGGGACAGCAACGUGGAAUUGAGCGGCUAGACGAAGUAGUGGAAUGCUACACCAAAGAAGGUGAAAGUCCUGUAGUCAAAAGCUUAACAAUCCUAGCUGUAUCCCGAGUAGUCCGGAGCACGUGGAAUUCCGGAUGAAUCUGCGAGGACCACCUCGUAAGGCUAAAUACUCCUGUGUGACCGAUAGCGUAUAGUACCGCGAGGGAAAGGUGAAAAGAACCCCGGAAGGGGAGUGAAACAGAACAUGAAACCGUAGGCUUACAAGCAGUCGAAGCUCGAUUUAACGAGUGACGGCGUGCCUGUUGAAGAAUGAGCCGGCGACUUAUAGGUACUGGCAGGUUAAGGCAAAAAUGCCGAAGCCAUAGCGAAAGCGAGUCUGAAUAGGGCGUUUGUCAGUAUUUAUAGACCCGAACCCGGGUGAUCUAACCAUGGCCAGAAUGAAGCUUGGGUAACACCAAGUGAAGGUUCGCACCGACCGAUGUUGAAAAAUCGGCGGAUGAGCUGUGGUUAGGGGUGAAAUGCCAAUCGAACCCGGAGCUAGCUGGUUCUCCCCGAAAUAUGUUGAGGCAUAGCGGGUGUGAUUAUAGCAGGGGGGUAAAGCACUGAUUCGGUGCGGGCUGCGAGAGCGGUACCAAAUCGAGUCAAACUCUGAAUACCCUGUGUACACACAGCCAGUCAGACGGUGGGGGAUAAGCUUCAUCGUCGAGAGGGAAACAGCCCAGACCACCAGCUAAGGUCCCUAAAUCAUCACUAAGUGGUAAAGGAGGUGGGGAUGCUCAGACAACCAGGAGGUUUGCCUAGAAGCAGCCAUCCUUAAAAGAGUGCGUAAUAGCUCACUGGUCAAGCGUUCCUGCGCCGAAAAUGAACGGGACUAAGUGAUGUACCGAAGCUGUGGACUUACUACGUAAGUGGUAGGGGAGCGUUCUGCAUUAGUUUGAAGCACUAGCGUAAGCAGGUGUGGACGAGGCAGAAGUGAGAAUGUCGGCUUGAGUAGCGAAAACAUUGGUGAGAAUCCAAUGCCCCGAAACCCCAAGGGUUCCUUCGGAAGGCUCGUCCGCGAAGGGUUAGUCGGGACCUAAGGCGAGGCCGAAAGGCGUAGUCGAUGGACAACUGGUCAAUAUUCCAGUACUCAUCUUGGUUUGUGCAGAGGGACGGAGAAGGCUAGAUCAGCCGGAUGUUGGUUACCGGUUCAACUGUCCGAGGUGUUGAGGAGCGGUGAAAACGCUCUGAGCUGAGGCAGGAGUACGACCCACUACGGUGGGGAAGUGAUUGAUGUCAUGCUUCCAAGAAAAGCUCUAAGCACGUUAAGCCAAGAUACCCGUACCCGAAACCGACACAGGUGGGGGGGUAGAGUAUACCAAGGGGCGCGAGAUAACUCUCUCUAAGGAACUCGGCAAAAUGGCCCCGUAACUUCGGGAGAAGGGGUGCCACCGAGAGGUGGCCGCAGUGAAGAGGCCCAGGCGACUGUUUACCAAAAACACAGGUCUCCGCUAAGUCGUAAGACGAUGUAUGGGGGCUGACGCCUGCCCAGUGCCGGAAGGUUAAGGAAGCCGGUCAGCGCAAGCGAAGCUGGCGACCGAAGCCCCGGUGAACGGCGGCCGUAACUAUGACCUAGUUGUAGUUACGUAAAUAAAUCUGGCUAUAUGCUGGAACAUCCGGUGUAUCUGCUGCUACUCGCUCCUAAGAUAAAGGAGCAGUGACAAUGCAUGCAGUGCGGACAAUCAGCAGGAAAGGUGCCAAUGACUGCCAAUAUCAAGCAAGUGCCUCCACAAAUAGGUUACUACCUAGCAGGUUUUGCUGACGGCGAAGGAAGCUUUAACGUUUCUUUUCGCCCACGUCCUGACUAUGUUGUACCUUGGAAGGUUACUGCUAGCUUUAAUGUUUCCCAAAAAGACCGUGUCAUCCUUGCUUUGUACAAAAAGCAUUUGGGUUGUGGAACACUUCGUGAGCGCCCUGAUGGGGUGUGGUACUACGAAGUUACCAAUCUGAAUGCGAUAGCUGAAAACGUCAUACCCUUUUUUAACCGGUUUGGCUUUCUUUCAGCUAAGAAAAAGCGGGAUUUCUCCAAAUUUAAGCAAAUUGUAGCUCUGAUGCUGCAAGGCGCUCACCUAACGGAGGACGGUAUCAAAAAAAUCCUCAAGAUUCGUCAACUGAUGAAUGACGGUGGGAAACGGCGAUACACAGAUGAUCAAAUCUUGGCAACCAUUGGCAAAUCCUCAGAGACUAUAUGCCAGACACCACAAAUUCAAGGUGAUGAUAUAGUCCGAUCUUCAUGGCGACAUGAAGGACUAGAGUAAGUUUAGGCAACGCUCUGGUCGCACUCAACAAUAUGUACAACACACUUGGAAGUUGAGUGAAACGUAAAUGAACGGUCCUAAGGUUAACGAACGCUAGCCUUAGUAAAACUGAACCAUAUGCGGGAAAGUCCUCUAACAGCUUUUCACUACUCGUUCAGCGAGGCACCGAACUCGAAAGAGUUUCAAAAAUAUGAGGUGCUGCAGUGCUGUUCAGUCAAAAUGUGAAAGACAUGGGGAUAAUCCGCAGGAAAGACCUAGAGGAAUCUAGGAAUCCUCAGAGACUUGAUGUUCAGGUGCGAUACAUGAAUUUAGAUGCCCAGUGGAUUGUUGGUUUCGUCGAUGGUGAAGGAUGCUUCCAUGUUGGAAUCAAUCCUCACUCACAAAUGGCAACAGGAUUUCAGGUACUUCCUGAAUUUACAGUUGUCCAGCAUCGGCGAGAUGUAAAGGUUCUCUAUGCACUCAAGGCUUAUUUCGAUUGUGGCGUGGUUCGCGUGAAUCACGGCGAUCGCAUGGCCUACAGAGUUCGCAGCAUCGAGCACUUAGCUGAGCGUAUCUGUCCUUUCUUUCUUAAGCAUCCGCUGAAGACAAGUAAAAACAUAGAUUUCCUUAAAUUCAGGGAUGUGGUGCUUCUAUGUCAAUCAGGAGCACAUUUGACAGAUGACGGUCUAGCAAGAAUCCAAAAAGUGGCAUCUCAAAUGAAUCGUGGUCGCACAAGGUAAAGUCCAGCUUUAUCGGAAACGGUAAAGAGCAACUGAGCGAAAUUCCUUGUCGGGUAAGUUCCGACCCGCACGAAAGGCGUAACGAUCUGGGCGCUGUCUCGGAGAGAGGCUCGGCGAAAUAGAAGUGUCUGUGAAGAUGCGGACUACCUGCACCCGGACAGAAAGACCCUAUGAAGCUUUACUGUAGCCUGGAAUUGGGUUCGGGCUUUGCUUGCGCAGGAUAGGUGGGAGACGUUGAAGUAUCCCUUGCGGGGGAUAUGGAGUCGCCAGUGAGAUACCACUCUGGCAAGGCUAGAAUUCUAACCUUCUGCUGUUAGCCAGCGAAGGAACAGUUUCAGGUGGGCAGUUUGACUGGGGCGGUCGCCUCCUAAAUGGUAACGGAGGCGCGCAAAGGUUCCCUCAGGCUGGUCGGAAAUCAGCCGUAGAGUGCAAAGGCAUAAGGGAGCUUGACUGCAAGACCUACAAGUCGAGCAGAGACGAAAGUCGGCCUUAGUGAUCCGACGGUUCCGCGUGGAAGGGCCGUCGCUCAACGGAUAAAAGUUACUCUAGGGAUAACAGGCUGAUCUCCCCCAAGAGUUCACAUCGACGGGGAGGUUUGGCACCUCGAUGUCGGCUCAUCGCAACCUGGGGCGGUAGUACGUCCCAAGGGUUGGGCUGUUCGCCCAUUAAAGCGGUACGUGAGCUGGGUUCAGAACGUAAAUCAUUGCGUCACUUCACAGUAAUGUGGAGCAGCAAACCGACUAAAAUCGGUAGAAUCUUAAUCAGUGACCGAACGGCUGGUUAAGACAAUACCGAGGGUAAGCAAGAGUCUCGUGACGGAUGAUCUGACGCUAAGUUACAUUGCGGGCUUUUUAGAUGCUGAUGGGUGCAUUAACUUGCAACUAGUGCGGCGUAAGGACUAUGUCCUUGGCUAUCAAAUUCGCGCUAGUAUCACCUUCUUUCAGUCCUCUUCUCAUCGAACCUUCUUGGAAUGGUUAAAAUCUGUUUUCCAAGUCGGUUUCGUAAGAGAUCGAAAAGAUGGACUAAGCGAAUAUGCCAUUGUUGAUGCACCGUCGGUUCUCAGGGUACUGUGUACCCUACGCAACUACCUUCGCUUGAAAAAGCCACAGUGUGAUUUAGCAAUUACUGUUCUACAGGAAGUUGUUCCGUCAAGGCGUUUAACGCCGCAGCAAUUCCUAAGCCUUGCUAGGCAAGUAGAUCAAUUUGGUGAGCUGAAUGCUUCAAAAAAGCGUUCUAUUCGCUCCGAUCAAGUAGAACAGUUCUUGAGAUCACGACAACUCUUGAUCCCGUAGAGACUGAAGCCUAGGCUUGAGUUAGCCAUCAAGCGUAAGCUGAGAUGCUCUGAGGUUGUCAGAGACAUCAAACGUCGGCUCCUGAUUCGUUAAUGGCGAGAGUCAGGAUGAAGAUAUAGUCCAUGCUCGUAGUGAUACGAGAGCAACAUGCGUGAGACAGUUCGGUCCAUAUCCGGUGCAGGCGUAGGAGCAUUGAGAGGAGUCCUCCUUAGUACGAGAGGACCGGGAGGAACGCACCUCUGGUGUACCUGUUAUCGUGCCAACGGUAGACGCAGGGUAGCCAUGUGCGGAGUGGAUAACCGCUGAAAGCAUCUAAGUGGGAAGCCCACCUCAAGAUGAGUGCUCCCAUGGCGUAAGCCAGUAAGGUCACGGGUAGAACACCCGUUAAUAGGCUCUCGAUGGAAGUCCAGUAAUGGAUGUAGUCUAGGAGUACUAAUAGACCGAGGGCUUGACCUC